ACGGGAGGCAGCAGUGGGGAAUCUUAGACAAUGGGGGCAACCCUGAUCUAGCCAUGCCGCGUGAGUGAUGAAGGCCUUAGGGUCGUAAAGCUCUUUCGCCUGUGAUGAUAAUGACAGUAGCAGGUAAAGAAACCCCGGCUAACUCCGUGCCAGCAGCCGCGGUAAUACGGAGGGGGUUAGCGUUGUUCGGAAUUACUGGGCGUAAAGCGCGCGUAGGCGGAUUAGAAAGUUGGGGGUGAAAUCCCGGGGCUCAACCCCGGAACUGCCUCCAAAACUGCUAGUCUAGAGUUCGAGAGAGGUGAGUGGAAUUCCGAGUGUAGAGGUGAAAUUCGUAGAUAUUCGGAGGAACACCAGUGGCGAAGGCGGCUCACUGGCUCGAUACUGACGCUGAGGUGCGAAAGUGUGGGGAGCAAACAGGAUUAGAUACCCUGGUAGUCCACACCGUAAACGAUGAAUGCCAGUCGUCGGAUAGUAUACUAUUCGGUGACACACCUAACGGAUUAAGCAUUCCGCCUGGGGAGUACGGUCGCAAGAUUAAAACUCAAAUGAAUUGACGG
Molecule: ribosomal RNA, 557 nt
Filed under: uncultured bacterium
Lineage: Bacteria
Description: bacterial SSU rRNA
Rfam family: Bacterial small subunit ribosomal RNA
Source: RNAcentral